Non-coding RNA from Python bivittatus (Burmese python), 384 nucleotides. NCBI's taxonomy places the organism in Eukaryota, Metazoa, Chordata, Lepidosauria, Squamata, Pythonidae. The record is from the annotation of a RefSeq genome assembly.
AUGGCUUGGAUUCUUUUGCUCUUCACCAUCCCGUGUUCCUUUGGGGCCAGUAUCCAGCAACUCCAGAGCCUGAAGAAUCCAGCGUUUGUAGCUCCAGGUGGGACAAUCACCAUGUCUUGCAGCGGUGCUAGCUCCAAUCUUAGAACAAUUGGAACAGGCUAUUCAUCCUGGUAUCAGCAGAAGCCUGGCGGGGCCCCCAACCUCAUUAUAUAUCAGGACAGCAAAAGACCCUCUGGAAUCCCAGCACGAUUCUCUGGUUCUCUUGAAAACUCUGCAAAAUCGGCCACACUGACCAUCUCCAGUCUUCAAGGAGAGGAUGAAGCUGAUUAUUAUUGUUCAUGUUAUGCAGGCAGUGGCAUGUACACGAUGUUACAAUCCCACUGA